AUGAGUAAUCAAUAUGGUGAUAAAUAAAAGGUGUUUUAUUUAUACUCAAAGGUUUGAGGCCAUAUGGGAUUAGUAUUAUUCUUGUGUUUCACAUUUGCAUGUUUUGACUUCCAGAAUAAUUGAGUUUAUUAAGAAUAAUCGAAUUAUUCAAACGGGCCACAGUCGUUCAUAUGUUGGAAGUAGAUAUGAAUGAAGACUGUCGUGAAUUGGUGUGUGGAUUGUCUAAAAGAGUAUUAGACAUAAGCAAAUGUUUGCUGCAACGUUCAUGAGUGCUUAUGAAUAUGAUUUGAGCAUUGGAUUAAACCCACGCUCACUUGGAUCACUCCUGGAAUUGUAUCACGAGUGAUUGGUGAGACGAUAACAUCUUAUAUUCUUGAAACCGAGAUGUGUGAGUUGUAUCUUGCAAAUCGGUUGCACAUUGAUAAUAUGUAAACGCACUAGUAACUUGGUGUUAUAAAACAUAUUGUUGUGUGUAAUUCGGUGAGUGAGUGCAAGCAAGCAUUAUAUCAAAGUUUAUCCGUUCCUUUUAUCCAAAGUAGGAUAAAAGCGAUAUCUUUGGGCCCCUCGAUGAUUUAGUGAUGACAAACGUAAAUGCUCGGCCGGGCUAGGGCUCAUUUGAUUUGUUCAAUUAGUCAGUCGUCAUAAAUCGUAAAUCGAGAAAUAGUACAAAGAGAAUGAUUUGAAAUCAUACGGUAUCUAGAAUGGAGGAAUAUAUGAUCCCUUAUCUAAAGGACACGCGUAUCUGAUAGGAUCAGAGUUGACAGCGGCUUUGGAAAGCUACGAUUGCAGAUCAGGAUCAGAAGUCAUACGCAUAAUAGUUAUUAGACUUAUCCAAGUGGGAGACUGUUCAAUUAGUGUCUAGCGCAUUUAGAGGGAAAAGGGACAAGAAUCGGUUUUGGCUAAAAUAAACAACUAUCAAAGGACAAUCCAAAGUUCGCCGAGGAUUGGUCGCUUAUGAGUAGUUGGAAGUAUAGUAUUGGAAAAUAUGGAAAUGGUUCCAUAUUGGAUGGACCAUAUCGACAUUAUUAUGAAUGGAUAAGAUUCUAUUAAGAAUGAGUUGUCAUAUGGAAAAUAUGGAAAUGUGUCCAUAUUGGGAAUUGAAUAUUGAAAAUCUAUGACUAGAUUAGAAACUUUUAUGCAAAAGGAUGUUCGAAGGAAUGUACUUUGAGUGAAAGACAUCAUAUCUAAGGAAUUGUAUUGUAACAAUUUCCGAUAGAGGACUUUGUAAUAUCAUUGGCAAUAGUCUUUGUGACUUUGGUACAGUGACAUUACGAAAGGAUCAUUGCAUAAAAUAUUAGAAUCUAACAUAUUCUAUAAGUAGCAAGAAUUUGAUAUUCUUUCACUUAUGGAAAUGGAUUUAGAGUUGUGAAAUGAGAAUGAUUGGAAAUGUGUUCAAUUUGAUCUAUUUCACAAAGUAAGAACCAUAGGUAAACAUUGUGUGCAUGCUAGGAGCAUGCGAUAAGUGCUGUAAUUCAAGUAAGAAGUUGAUUGCCUGAAACGACAAAUAAUGAGUAAUCGAUAUGGUGAUAAAUAAAGGCGUUUUAUUUAUACUCAAAGGCUUUGAGGCCAUAUGGGAUUAGUAUUAUUCUUGUGUUUCACUUUGCAUGUUUUGACUUCCUGAAUAAUUUAAUUGGUUAAGAACAGUCAAAUUAUUCGAACGGGCCACAGUCGUUCAUAUGUUGGAAGUAGGUAUGAAUGAAGACUGUCGUGAAUUGGUGUGUGGAAUGUCUAAAAGAGUAUUAUACAUAAGCAAAUGUUUGCUGCAACAUUCAUGAGUGCUUAUGAAUGUGAUUUGAGCAUUGGAUUAAACCCACGCUCACUUGGAUCACUCCAUGCAAUUGUAUCACGAGUGAUUGGUGAGACGAUAACAUCUUAUAUUCUUGAAACCGAGAUGUGUGAGUUGUAUCUUGCAAAUCGGUUGCACAUUGAUAAUAUGUAAACGCACUAGUAACUUGGUGUUAUAAAACAUAUUGUUGUGUGUAAUUCGGUGAGUGAGUGCAAGCAAGCAUUAUAUCAAAGUUUAUCCGUUCCUUUUAUCCAAAGUAGGAUAAAAGCGAUAUCUUUGGGCCCCUCGAUGAUUUAGUGAUGACAAACGUAAAUGCUCGGCCGGGCUAGGGCUCAUUUGAUUUGUUCAAUUAGUCAGUCGUCAUAAAUCGUAAAUCGAGAAAUAGUACAAAGAGAAUGAUUUGAAAUCAUACGGUAUCUAGAAUGGAGGAAUAUAUGAUCCCUUAUCUAAAGGACACGCGUAUCUGAUAGGAUCAGAGUUGACAGCGGCUUUGGAAAGCUACGAUUGCAGAUCAGGAUCAGAAGUCAUACGCAUAAUAGUUAUUAGACUUAUCCAAGUGGGAGACUGUUGG
Molecule: long non-coding RNA, 2357 nt
Filed under: Lactuca sativa (garden lettuce)
Lineage: Eukaryota; Viridiplantae; Streptophyta; Magnoliopsida; Asterales; Asteraceae
Description: long non-coding RNA (LSAT_LNC002470)
Source: RNAcentral